Branchiostoma floridae (Florida lancelet) is the source of this 1630-nucleotide long non-coding RNA. RefSeq lists it as uncharacterized. The record is from RefSeq and is a predicted model, not a curated record. The transcript has 3 exons. NCBI's taxonomy places the organism in Eukaryota, Metazoa, Chordata, Leptocardii, Amphioxiformes, Branchiostomatidae.
AACACACCUGCACAACAAAGCACGCAGUUGUUUAUCCUCUGUGAAGGAGAAGUGUAAAGGAGUAAGCACAGGCUCAUAAACCGUUCUAUAUCUUGCUUGCCUGGCCUCUCAACGUCUCUCGUGUUUGAAAGGUAUCUGCUGUCCCGGAUAUCUACACACUCAGGUGUCUUCACACGUACCACAGUAGAGCCACACUACAUAAGUUGUCACGUCCACAGUGACACGUCACCUUUCAGAACAACAAACAAAGAAAGCAACUGCUCGACAAUGACUAAACCGAUGUCGCUGGUGUGGCUGAUCGCUAUUGGCCUGCUGGCUUUGAGUUUCGCUGACGUCACGGCCGGCACCUUUGAAAAGAGGGAGAGCGAAGACGAUGUCGGAAAGGGGGCAUCGAAGGAAACCUCUGGCGCUGGUAUUGCGGAACUACAAAAUUGGAAGGACAAAAUCGACGCUAUAGGGGCGUUGGUCAACAUUAUUGCUGAUGGCUCUGAGUUGUAUUCUCGCAUGUCUGCUAAAUACGAAAUUUGUACGUGAUAUGGUCAGGAGGGCGUUCUUGAUUUUUGGUAAGGCCGGCGGCAAGGCUGUAGGCAGUCUAGUGCCUGCAGGUGGGAUUGGGAAAGUGAUUGGAGGUCAUUUUGGAGAAAAGUUGGGGGAAGUACUUGGGAUCCUUUUAGCAGGGGAGGCAGCUGGUGACGUAGAGGAAGCCUUAAUACCCCCAGGUAGAGGCGAUAAGGGAAAAUACGCUUUGAGGUGUUUGUGUGAGAUCCUUGGUGCUUUGGGGAGGACCCUCGACGUUGUCGUUCAGUUUAGUCCCCGUGCGUCAGCAAGCUACGAAAAGUGGAAGACUGGUGAGAUAUCAAUGACGGAUUUGCAGUGGGAAGUUGGGAAAGGUGUGGUUAAGGCCGGAAGCACGGCCGUGGGCACAGCCGUGGGCGCGUCCCUGGGCGCAUGGUACAUAGGGCCCGCCCUCGGGCAACUGGCUAUUCCCAUCCCCGGGUUGGGGGCGGCGAUGGGAGCUUAUGUUGGCAAUUGGCUGGGAGGAAAGGUCGGAGACUUUGUGACAGGAUAAGACUGGAAAUCGUGCUCGCACAAGAAAAGAUAAGUGAUCAUAAGUUUGACGAUCAUCAGAUUAGCUUAAGUUAGCGAUGAAACAGAUUGUGCUACUAGUACGUAGAAUGCAUCAUCUAAUGGUGAUCUAUGCUGUAUCGGUAUUACAAAUUAGUAUAAACGUGGUCUUUUUCAACCAUCCCACAAGAAGGCUCUGUUUUAUUGGUCCCACUUAUCAUACUGCUUUUAUGACAGCCUAUCUUUCUGACUACUGACGUCCCGGUUAGCACUUGUAAAGAACCAGGAACGUAAAAAUUCCCUGGCGUGCAGUGAACUUGGCAGACGGGUAACACUCCCAGCACCAUGCAACUAUACAUUAAUUUUAACAAAGUUGGACAGUUAAUUCUGUCCCUACCCAUGACUAGCCAAACUUUUGAUGUGACAAAAUCGGAACAUGUGAAGUUGUGAAUCCAAAACAGUACAGAUACAUAAAGGGGGUUAAAAAUCAAGAUUUUUAACCUCCUCAGAUACAUCAAAUAUCCCAUCACGUAUUCUGCAUAUUGAUUGUUGUUACACAACUAAU